ACAGAAUGGAAUUACAGAGGCAGAAGAAAAGAGGUCUCUGCCAAAUUGAUAGUUUAAAAAACAUUUUAGUGGCCUACUUAACUGUAAUUUGUUUUAGUUUUAAACAAGAAAAACCUCAGCAUGUAAGCAAAGCAGACUGGACUUGAACAGAUAUGGAAUGCAAAGCACACAGGAGAGUCAUGGGGGUCCUGAAGGGGGAUUAGAAGUUGGACAACUUUUUAUGCAAUGAACAACGUUGCAUUGGAGACAGUGGAUUAAACAGUAGUGCAUAUCACUUGGCUGAAGUGACAGGAAUAAAGAACAGAAUGCAUCCACUCCUCCAGUCUCAUUAAGCUGCCUCUUUCUCCUGAAAUUGGAUUGGGAUUCCAGGACACCUCUUAACCUACAGGAAACACUGGAUCUAAAGCUGAAACAGGCUUUUAAAAAGAUUUGCACAAUACAUCCUUCAUAUUGUUAUUUUUAUCUCUGUAAGUUUGUAAUGGCCUCUAUAAAAGAAAGCUGUGUAACAAGAGCAUCAGAUGUUACUUUGCUCACUGUUGACGGCUGUGAAGAACAGAAGAAAACUAGGAAGAAAACCAAGCUGGGAAGGGCAACGAAGGAACAGGUUAGAGUUCAAAAGUAAAAGUAUGUUCCACACAAAAGAAAGAGUUCAGAGAGGAGGCCUUGCUCUGUUGCCCAGGCUGGAAUGCAGUGGUGUGAUCAUGGCUCACUGCAGCCUCGAACUUCUGGGCUCAAAUGAUCUUCUUGCCUCAGCCUCUUGAGUAGCUGGAAUUACAGGUUGCUGGGGCAGCUCUGAUCCACAUACGACUUAGGGACCCAGGAUGCAGCUGCUUCAACAUCUUGUAGCUGUACUAUCUGGAAUACAUGGGCUGCCAGUUGUCAUGACUACUCUCCUAUGCUUCAGCCAAAAAGUUAAGCACUUUAUUUCUUCAUAUAGCCCAUUGGUAAGAAUUAUUCAUAUGUCUCACUACAGGGUGGGCUGGGAGUGUACCUUCAUUAUGUAGGAAAAAAUAAAACAUAAUUGUGAGAAUUAUCCAAAUGUGACAUAGAGGCUCAAAAUGAGCACACGCUGUUGGAAAAAUGGCACCU
This 1089-nucleotide long non-coding RNA is filed under the name Pongo abelii (Sumatran orangutan). RNAcentral describes it as "lincRNA". Lineage: Eukaryota; Metazoa; Chordata; Mammalia; Primates; Hominidae. The record is from RNAcentral.